UAUGUGAUCGUCUCUCGCAUAUCAAUAAGCGGAGGAAAAGAAACUAACAAGGAUUCCCCUAGUAACGGCGAGUGAAGCGGGAAGAGCUCAAAUUUGAAAUCUUAAAGGGUUUCCCUUUACGAAUUGUAGUUUAAAGAAGUGUUUUCUGUUGAGGUUUUGGUAAAAGUUCUUUGGAAUAGGACAUCAUAGAGGGUGAGAAUCCCGUAUUUGACCUUUACUUUCAACUUUGUGAUACACUUUCAAAGAGUCGGAUUGUUUGGGAAUGCAGUCCAAAAUGAGUGGUAAAUUUCAUCUAAAGCUAAAUAUUGGCGAGAGACCGAUAGCGAACAAGUACCGUGAGGGAAAGAUGAAAAGAACUUUGAAAAGAGAGUUAAACAGUACGUGAAAUUGUCAAAAGGGAAGCGUUUGACACCAGUGUUGUUUUUUCUGAAAAUCAAUUAAAGAACUGUUUAUGCUAAGUUGUUUAGACUUUAUCAGCUAACUGUUUAGUUUUGAGCUUUUCUUUAAUGCACUUUUCAGUUAACAAGUCAACAUCAAUUUCCUUUGCUGUAAAAAAGCUUGAGGAAGGUGGCUUGAGAUUCGUCUUAAGUGUUUAUAGCCUCUUGCCUAUGCAGUCGGAGAGAUUGAGGUCUGCAGCGUAGAUCCUUCGGGGCUAAAUGCAUUUGUGCUAAGUUAUAACAUUUUAUAGACAACUUGUUGACUAUGAUUUGUCUUGUAGCUUACUCGCUUAUGUUAUUUUACCUACGCUUAGGAUGUUGAAGAUAUGCGCGACACGA
RNAcentral lists this ribosomal RNA (776 nucleotides) under uncultured Neocallimastigales. RNAcentral's name for it is "partial large subunit ribosomal RNA". It matches the Rfam family "Eukaryotic large subunit ribosomal RNA", at positions 24 to 647 of the family's 3401-position model. The record is from RNAcentral. Lineage: Eukaryota; Fungi; Neocallimastigomycota; Neocallimastigomycetes; Neocallimastigales.